CUUUAUUGGAGAGUUUGAUCCUGGCUCAGGAUGAACGCUGGCGGCGUGCCUAAUACAUGCAAGUCGAGCGAAUGGAUUGAGAGCUUGCUCUCAAGAAGUUAGCGGCGGACGGGUGAGUAACACGUGGGUAACCUGCCCAUAAGACUGGGAUAACUCCGGGAAACCGGGGCUAAUACCGGAUAACAUUUUGAACUGCAUGGUUCGAAAUUGAAAGGCGGCUUCGGCUGUCACUU
Molecule: ribosomal RNA, 233 nt
Filed under: Bacillus wiedmannii
Lineage: Bacteria; Bacillati; Bacillota; Bacilli; Caryophanales; Bacillaceae
Description: 16S rRNA. Bacterial SSU
Rfam family: Bacterial small subunit ribosomal RNA
Source: RNAcentral